This 1253-nucleotide unclassified non-coding RNA is filed under the name Hevea brasiliensis (rubber tree). The record is from RNAcentral. Lineage: Eukaryota; Viridiplantae; Streptophyta; Magnoliopsida; Malpighiales; Euphorbiaceae.
AGAGAGAAAGCCGACUUCUAUUAAGAAUCCCCCCACAAUGCUAAGCCCCAAUUCAGAAAAAUCACAAAAGCACCCAUGGAUCGAGAAUUUAACGAUUUCAAAUUGAGAAAGCUAAAAUUUAGUAAAUUUAACAAGCCUGAAGCCUAACAAAACAUACUCUACCACCAUGCAGCACCUAUACAUACACCCAUUGGCUUUGAAUAUCUUCAAAUGUCAAACCCAUUGAUGAAAGCUGAAUUAAUUUAACAAAGCCUAAAAAAUUAUACCCCACUGAUGGAACAUGCAUUGGUUUUACAAAUACUCAAAAGUAAAUAUCUCCACAAUAUAUUCCAUUAACAUUUUAAAAGGCACAGGUUUUUUAGUCAAACUGCUAUACACAUAUCAGUGUAAUUAGAUUCCUGCUGAUUCUCAAAAUCAAACUGCUAAGUUUGCAUGCUAAAAUCUUUAAUAAUUCAUUACUUUAAAGUUUAACUUUGCUAGAUAUUGUUACCAAAAUCCAUAUAUAAUAUGCAUUAAUUUUUUGAAACUUCUGAAGCACGCCCUCAGCACUGAAUAAAGGACUAUACUUGGUAUUUAAUUAUUCAACAAAGAAAAAAGAAAUACAUACGAGUGCGCAGGUGGGGUAAUUAAACAACUAACCAAUAGUAGUAAUCCAGAUAGUGAACUGUAAAGAACAGGAAAUAAACGAAAUGGGUAAUCCUGGAGGAGAAAGUGCAAAAGACACCCUAAAGGCAAACUUCACAAUUAACUAACAGAAAUAUGUGAUGCACAUUUUGGUUCAACACAUGCAAGGAAGUAACAAAAUGUAUAAAACAUAAGUAAUGGAAUUCAGAUUCAACAAAAUUCUGAUUAACAGAAAAGAUAGACCAAACUCUAAAAAGGUUUCUUGAGCUGAAGUACAGGAAUCAACUCCAGGAGUUUCAGUAUAUCUACAUCCUUUCCCAGUAUGACAUUAAUUUAAUCAAGGAACAGAAAAACAUUUUGAAUGUCAAAAAAUGCCAAUAAAAAUGAAGAAGACAAACAAAAAUGAAAGAUAGAGACAUUGCCAAAAAUUAGAAAUGUAAAAGACGACAACAAAAGCAGGAGCAUACAAUGUGAGUAUUAGGUCAAUAUAAGCUCUCACCUUUUAGAAUGGACUGAUGUAACUACGGAACAAAAGAUAUAGAACUUUUCUAAGAAAAAGAAAAAAAGUUCAUUUCCAUGUAAAACAGAACCAUCACCGCAUGGCAUUGACCGCAACCACUAAACAAGCC